ACCGGAUAAGAAAGCAGUUCGCAUGAACAGCUUUUAAAAGGCGGCGCAAGCUGUCGCUAAAGGAUGGACCCGCGGUGCAUUAGCUAGUUGGUAAGGUAACGGCCUACCAAGGCAGUGAUGCAUAGCCGAGUUGAGAGACUGAUCGGCCACAUUGGGACUGAGACACGGCCCAAACUCCUACGGGAGGCAGCAGUAGGGAAUCUUCCACAAUGGACGCAAGUCUGAUGGAGCAACGCCGCGUGAGUGAAGAAGGUUUUCGGACCGUAAAGCUCUGUUGUUGGUGAAGAAGGAUAGAGGUAGUAACUGGCCUUUAUUUGACGGUAAUCAACCAGAAAGUCACGGCUAACUACGUGCCAGCAGCCGCGGUAAUACGUAGGUGGCAAGCGUUGUCCGGAUUUAUUGGGCGUAAAGCGAGCGCAGGCGGAAGAAUAAGUCUGAUGUGAAAGCCCUCGGCUUAACCGAGGAAUUGCAUCGGAAACUGUUUUUCUUGAGUGCAGAAGAGGAGAGUAGAACUCCAUGUGUAGCGGUGGAAUGCGUAGAUAUAUGGAAGAAUACCAGUGGCGAAGGCGGCUCUCUGGUCUGCAACUGACGCUGAGGCUCGAAAGCAUGGGUAGCGAACAGGAUUAGAUACCCUGGUAGUCCAUGCCGUAAACGAUGAGUGCUAAGUGUUGGGAGGCUUCCGCCUCUCAGUGCUGCAGCUAACGCAUUAAGCACUCCGCCUGGGGAGUACGACCGCAAGGUUGAAACUCAAAGGAAUUGACGGGGGCCCGCACAAGCGGUGGAGCAUGUGGUUUAAUUCGAAGCAACGCGAAGAACCUUACCAGGUCUUGACAUCUAGUGCCAUUUGUAGAGAUACAAAGUUCCCUUCGGGGACGCUAAGACAGGUGGUGCAUGGCUGUCGUCAGCUCGUGUCGUGAGAUGUUGGGUUAAGUCCCGCAACGAGCGCAACCCUUGUUAUUAGUUGCCAGCAUUAAGUUGGGCACUCUAAUGAGACUGCCGGUGACAAACCGGAGGAAGGUGGGGAUGACGUCAAGUCAUCAUGCCCCUUAUGACCUGGGCUACACACGUGCUACAAUGGGCAGCACAACGAGCAGCGAGCCUGCAAAGGCAAGCAAAUCUCUGAAAGCUGUUCUCAGUUCGGACUGCAGUCUGCAACUCGACUGCACGAAGCUGGAAUCGCUAGUAAUCGCGGAUCAGCACGCCGCGGUGAAUACGUUCCCGGGCCUUGUACACACCG
Molecule: ribosomal RNA, 1237 nt
Filed under: Lactobacillus kefiranofaciens
Lineage: Bacteria; Bacillati; Bacillota; Bacilli; Lactobacillales; Lactobacillaceae
Description: bacterial SSU rRNA
Rfam family: Bacterial small subunit ribosomal RNA
Source: RNAcentral